GGCACAGUGGCGUAGUGGUUAGCAAUGUUGCCUCACAGCAAGAAGGUCGUGGGUUUGAAUCCCAGCCUGGGGCC
Gymnothorax javanicus (giant moray) is the source of this 74-nucleotide non-coding RNA. The record is from the annotation of a GenBank genome assembly. NCBI's taxonomy places the organism in Eukaryota, Metazoa, Chordata, Actinopteri, Anguilliformes, Muraenidae.